GAUGAACGCUGGCGGCGUGCCUAAUACAUGCAAGUCGAGCGAACAGACGAGGAGCUUGCUCCUCUGACGUUAGCGGCGGACGGGUGAGUAACACGUGGAUAACCUACCUAUAAGACUGGGAUAACUUCGGGAAACCGGAGCUAAUACCGGAUAAUAUAUUGAACCGCAUGGUUCAAUAGUGAAAGACGGUUUUGCUGUCACUUAUAGAUGGAUCCGCGCCGCAUUAGCUAGUUGGUAAGGUAACGGCUUACCAAGGCAACGAUGCGUAGCCGACCUGAGAGGGGGAUCGGCCACACUGGAACUGAGACACGGUCCAGACUCCUACGGGAGGCAGCAGUAGGGAAUCUUCCGCAAUGGGCGAAAGCCUGACGGAGCAACGCCGCGUGAGUGAUGAAGGUCUGCGGAUCGUAAAACUCUGUUAUUAGGGAAGAACAAAUGUGUAAGUAACUAUGCACGUCUUGACGGUACCUAAUCAGAAAGCCACGGCUAACUACGU
RNAcentral lists this ribosomal RNA (496 nucleotides) under uncultured bacterium. RNAcentral's name for it is "partial 16S ribosomal RNA". It matches the Rfam family "Bacterial small subunit ribosomal RNA", at positions 28 to 506 of the family's 1533-position model. The record is from RNAcentral.